Molecule: long non-coding RNA, 1138 nt
Organism: Musa acuminata AAA Group (dessert banana)
Lineage: Eukaryota; Viridiplantae; Streptophyta; Magnoliopsida; Zingiberales; Musaceae
Exons: 2
Source: RefSeq, a predicted model, not a curated record
CUCUACAGAGUUGUUAACAUCUAUCUUAGAGCCAAAGAGUAAAUCAAAGUGUCGAAGCUGUAGAGGGACAAAGGCGGAGGAUGAGGAGCUCUCAAAGGAGGCGACGGAGGAGCAAGCCGACUCGUUUCGAAGGAUGAGUGGUGUAAUGGAGAGAGGGGUGGCAGUGUUGACGCUCACCGAUGCUCCGAAGAUGGAUUAGAAUAUGGUUAUGCCUAUGGCAGUGCUCUCAUCAGAGUGAUGGACACAGAGAGGAGGAAGAGGUGAUAGGGCACGUUUGGGCAGAUAUUGACAAAGGAGUGCCCAAGGUUUAUUAUCGCCGAUGGUAUUAGAAAAAAAGAGAUAAAUUGUUUUACUUUUAUAACUAUUAGGAUUUUAAGUAUAAAUUUUUGAAGUAAAAGAAUUGUGAUGCUACGAGGGUCUAAAUAGGAGUAAUAAUUAAUAGUAAUUAGCCCUUGAUAACCCUUCCGCCUCCGUCACGCUCUCCUCUCCUCCGGCCUUCGUCCCCGACGAGUUCAGUGUCCUCUUCUCCGCUGUCUCCAACUGAAGCGUGGGAAGCUGUUCCACGAACACUCCCUUUUCUUCGAAUGCGCCAGCGAUUUCUUCGUGCGUGAAGCGCUGGUCGACAUGUGAUCCAAGUGCGGCGAUGUCUGAGGCGCUCGGCAGGUAUCUGAUUCUGAACACCCAACUCCAGGUGGCAUAAGGCCAAAGUUACUUGACUUGUUGGAUGAUUAGCUGUAUUGAUGGUAUGGAUUGUAACAGAUGAAGAGUUUGACCUUGGUGCUUGGAAGACUAUGAGCUUUGCAAUGAGCUUCUUUAUUGCGUGGAGGCAACUAAGCCAUGUUCCAUUUGAUGGCAAUGGCAGCAGUGGACCCCUCUUUUGCCAACCAGGUUUUAGUAGGUAACCGAACUCCUUUGCAGCUGCCACGUAUAGUUUAGACUAUAAUUCCAUUGGGACUUGGGAGUAUCUUGCCAGUUGUUUUAUCUUGGCAUUAGAAAGCUUACAUGUUUAUUGUGAUUAUUCUAGUCAAGGAAGAAACAGGAACAAUCGUUCUUCUUCUGAUUCCUUCUUGUGGCUGUUUGUAUUUAUGUUGGUGCACCAUUUUUGCUGAAACCGCAGAUAACUCAAUGUCUGUUCUCA